AUUGAACGCUGGCGGCAGGCCUACCACAUGCAAGUCGCACGAGUGGCGGACGGGUGAGUAAUGUCUGGGAAACUGCCUGAUGGAGGGGGAUAACUACUGGAAACGGUAGCUAAUACAGCAUACCAUCGGAUGUGCCCAGAUGGGAUUAGCUAGUAGGUGGGGUAAAGGCUAACCUAGGCGACGAUCCCUAGCUGGUCUGAGAGGCUGACCAGCCACACUGGAACUGAGACACGGGCCAGCCUCCUACGGGAGGCAGCAGUGGGGAAUAGUGCACAAUGGGCGCAAGCCUGAUGCAGCCAUGCCGAGUGUAUGAAGAAGGCCUUCGGGUUGUAAAGUACUUUCCGCGGGGAGGCGUGACCCGCAGAAGACGAACCGGCUAACUCCGUGCCAGCAGCCGCGGUAAUAC
This 406-nucleotide ribosomal RNA is filed under the name uncultured bacterium. RNAcentral describes it as "partial 16S ribosomal RNA". It matches the Rfam family "Bacterial small subunit ribosomal RNA", at positions 30 to 526 of the family's 1533-position model. The record is from RNAcentral.